Molecule: ribosomal RNA, 798 nt
Filed under: Triticum aestivum (bread wheat)
Lineage: Eukaryota; Viridiplantae; Streptophyta; Magnoliopsida; Poales; Poaceae
Description: partial small subunit ribosomal RNA
Source: RNAcentral
AUGCCAAUAACCGUGGCAAAGAAGGAACAUUGUCACCACUUGGAUAUGAAAAUGUGGUCAGGAAGUUUUUUGGAGCGCACGAGGAUAGAAUAUACCAAAAAGCAAUUCAAGAAUAAGUGGGAUGUGCUGAAAAAAGAGUAUGCUGUUUGGAAGACAUUAACCCAAAAGGCAUCAGGCAUUGGGUUUGAUCCUGUUACCAAGACCAUUGCGGCUAGUGAUGAAUGGUGGGCAAAUGAGAUACAUAGAAAUGAACUUGCCGCCAAGUUUCGAUUUGCUCCACUAGAGGAUGAUGUCAAACUGAGUGCUAUAUUUGAUGAUAUUAGUGUGACAAAUGAGUACGCGAGGGCGGCACCACCCUCGUCUCAAGUUGAUGCAUCUCAAAUUCACAUUGAUGAUGAUGAUGUGGCUGGUUCAGGAUGUGAAAUAGAUGCUACUUUUUUGACACCUAACAAAGCUAAAGGUCGAAAGAAGAGAUCAUGUCCUUAUUCACCUAGUCCUGCGAUGGUGCAAAAGAUUGCAAAAGAUAGUGAUGAUAGAAUGCAAUUUAAGCGUAUUGCUGACCUUUGGGAAAAGAGGGAGACUAGCCGCAAUUCGGCGACAUCUGAAAUGAAGGAGGAUCCUGUGAGAGAUGAGAUUAAGGAGAUGAAGGACAUGGUGGUGAAUGAUGGAGGUAAACCUGGAAGUGAAGUGUAUUUUCAUGCUCUAGAACUCUUUACGAAGAAGGAACAUCGUGAUGUCUUCAUUGCACUAAAGGAGGAAGAUUCAACUGUGAGGCUUGAAUGGAUCAACAGGGCAUGU